GACGAACCGUGCAAACGUUGUUCGGAUUCACUGGGCUUAAAGGGCGCGUAGGCGGGCGGUCAAGUCAGGGGUGAAAUCUUUCGGCUCAACCGGAAAAGUGCCUCUGAUACUGAUCGUCUUGAGGGAGGUAGGGGCAUGUGGAACUUCCGGUGGAGCGGUGAAAUGCGUAGAUAUUCGGAAGAACACCAGUGGCGAAGGCGGCUCACUGGCCCGGUACUGACGCUGAGGUGCGAAAGCGUGGGGAGCAAACAGG
Molecule: ribosomal RNA, 253 nt
Filed under: uncultured bacterium
Lineage: Bacteria
Description: partial 16S ribosomal RNA
Rfam family: Bacterial small subunit ribosomal RNA
Source: RNAcentral